Molecule: non-coding RNA, 29 nt
Filed under: Mus musculus (house mouse)
Lineage: Eukaryota; Metazoa; Chordata; Mammalia; Rodentia; Muridae
Source: RNAcentral
UCCGAAAUUGCCUCAAGUCCAGAAUCGCC